RNAcentral lists this transfer RNA (66 nucleotides) under Serranus notospilus (saddle bass). Its description in RNAcentral is "tRNA-Cys". Lineage: Eukaryota; Metazoa; Chordata; Actinopteri; Perciformes; Serranidae. The record is from RNAcentral.
AGCUCCGGGGUGUUUCACAUAUUAGAUUGCAAAUCUUAAGUCGCAGAUUAACCUCUGUCGGAGCUU